Molecule: ribosomal RNA, 497 nt
Filed under: uncultured bacterium
Lineage: Bacteria
Description: partial 16S ribosomal RNA
Rfam family: Bacterial small subunit ribosomal RNA
Source: RNAcentral
GAUGAACGCUGGCGGCGUGCCUAAUACAUGCAAGUCGAGCGAACAGAUGAGGAGCUUGCUCCUCUGACGUUAGCGGCGGACGGGUGAGUAACACGUGGAUAACCUACCUAUAAGACUGGGAUAACUUCGGGAAACCGGAGCUAAUACCGGAUAAUAUAUUGAACCGCAUGGUUCAAUAGUGAAAGACGGUUUUGCUGUCACUUAUAGAUGGAUCCGCGCCGCAUUAGCUAGUUGGUAAGGUAACGGCUUACCAAGGGAACGAUGCGUAGCCGACCUGAGAGGGUGAUCGGCCACACUAGAACUGAGACACGGUCCAGACUCCUACGGGAGGCAGCAGUAGGGAAUCUUCCGCAAUGGGCGAAAGCUUGACGGAGCAACGCCGCGUGAGUGAUGAAGGUCUUCGGAUCGUAAAACUCUGUUAUUAGGGAAGAACAAAUGUGUAAGUAACUAUGCACGUCUUGACGGUACCUUAUCAGAAAGCCACGGCUAACUACGUG